GGGUUGUGAGGUUAAGCGACUAAGCGUACACGGUGGAUGCCCUGGCAGUCAGAGGCGAUGAAGGACGUGCUAAUCUGCGAUAAGCGUCGGUAAGGUGAUAUGAACCGUUAUAACCGGCGAUUUCCGAAUGGGGAAACCCAGUGUGUUUCGACACACUAUCAUUAACUGAAUCCAUAGGUUAAUGAGGCGAACCGGGGGAACUGAAACAUCUAAGUACCCCGAGGAAAAGAAAUCAACCGAGAUUCCCCCAGUAGCGGCGAGCGAACGGGGAGGAGCCCAGAGCCUGAAUCAGUGUGUGUGUUAGUGGAAGCGUCUGGAAAGGCGCGCGAUACAGGGUGACAGCCCCGUACACAAAAAUGCACAUGCUGUGAGCUCGAUGAGUAGGGCGGGACACGUGGUAUCCUGUCUGAAUAUGGGGGGACCAUCCUCCAAGGCUAAAUACUCCUGACUGACCGAUAGUGAACCAGUACCGUGAGGGAAAGGCGAAAAGAACCCCGGCGAGGGGAGUGAAAAAGAACCUGAAACCGUGUACGUACAAGCAGUGGGAGCACGCUUAGGCGUGUGACUGCGUACCUUUUGUAUAAUGGGUCAGCGACUUAUAUUCUGUAGCAAGGUUAACCGAAUAGGGGAGCCGAAGGGAAACCGAGUCUUAACUGGGCGUUAAGUUGCAGGGUAUAGACCCGAAACCCGGUGAUCUAGCCAUGGGCAGGUUGAAGGUUGGGUAACACUAACUGGAGGACCGAACCGACUAAUGUUGAAAAAUUAGCGGAUGACUUGUGGCUGGGGGUGAAAGGCCAAUCAAACCGGGAGAUAGCUGGUUCUCCCCGAAAGCUAUUUAGGUAGCGCCUCGUGAAUUCAUCUCCGGGGGUAGAGCACUGUUUCGGCAAGGGGGUCAUCCCGACUUACCAACCCGAUGCAAACUGCGAAUACCGGAGAAUGUUAUCACGGGAGACACACGGCGGGUGCUAACGUCCGUCGUGAAGAGGGAAACAACCCAGACCGCCAGCUAAGGUCCCAAAGUCAUGGUUAAGUGGGAAACGAUGUGGGAAGGCCCAGACAGCCAGGAUGUUGGCUUAGAAGCAGCCAUCAUUUAAAGAAAGCGUAAUAGCUCACUGGUCGAGUCGGCCUGCGCGGAAGAUGUAACGGGGCUAAACCAUGCACCGAAGCUGCGGCAGCGACGCUUAUGCGUUGUUGGGUAGGGGAGCGUUCUGUAAGCCUGUGAAGGUGUGCUGUGAGGCAUGCUGGAGGUAUCAGAAGUGCGAAUGCUGACAUAAGUAACGAUAAAGCGGGUGAAAAGCCCGCUCGCCGGAAGACCAAGGGUUCCUGUCCAACGUUAAUCGGGGCAGGGUGAGUCGACCCCUAAGGCGAGGCCGAAAGGCGUAGUCGAUGGGAAACAGGUUAAUAUUCCUGUACUUGGUGUUACUGCGAAGGGGGGACGGAGAAGGCUAUGUUGGCCGGGCGACGGUUGUCCCGGUUUAAGCGUGUAGGCUGGUUUUCCAGGCAAAUCCGGAAAAUCAAGGCUGAGGCGUGAUGACGAGGCACUACGGUGCUGAAGCAACAAAUGCCCUGCUUCCAGGAAAAGCCUCUAAGCAUCAGGUAACAUCAAAUCGUACCCCAAACCGACACAGGUGGUCAGGUAGAGAAUACCAAGGCGCUUGAGAGAACUCGGGUGAAGGAACUAGGCAAAAUGGUGCCGUAACUUCGGGAGAAGGCACGCUGAUAUGUAGGUGAAGCGACUUGCUCGUGGAGCUGAAAUCAGUCGAAGAUACCAGCUGGCUGCAACUGUUUAUUAAAAACACAGCACUGUGCAAACACGAAAGUGGACGUAUACGGUGUGACGCCUGCCCGGUGCCGGAAGGUUAAUUGAUGGGGUUAGCGCAAGCGAAGCUCUUGAUCGAAGCCCCGGUAAACGGCGGCCGUAACUAUAACGGUCCUAAGGUAGCGAAAUUCCUUGUCGGGUAAGUUCCGACCUGCACGAAUGGCGUAAUGAUGGCCAGGCUGUCUCCACCCGAGACUCAGUGAAAUUGAACUCGCUGUGAAGAUGCAGUGUACCCGCGGCAAGACGGAAAGACCCCGUGAACCUUUACUAUAGCUUGACACUGAACAUUGAGCCUUGAUGUGUAGGAUAGGUGGGAGGCUUAGAAGUGUGGACGCCAGUCUGCAUGGAGCCGACCUUGAAAUACCACCCUUUAAUGUUUGAUGUUCUAACGUUGACCCGUAAUCCGGGUUGCGGACAGUGUCUGGUGGGUAGUUUGACUGGGGCGGUCUCCUCCUAAAGAGUAACGGAGGAGCACGAAGGUUGGCUAAUCCUGGUCGGACAUCAGGAGGUUAGUGCAAUGGCAUAAGCCAGCUUGACUGCGAGCGUGACGGCGCGAGCAGGUGCGAAAGCAGGUCAUAGUGAUCCGGUGGUUCUGAAUGGAAGGGCCAUCGCUCAACGGAUAAAAGGUACUCCGGGGAUAACAGGCUGAUACCGCCCAAGAGUUCAUAUCGACGGCGGUGUUUGGCACCUCGAUGUCGGCUCAUCACAUCCUGGGGCUGAAGUAGGUCCCAAGGGUAUGGCUGUUCGCCAUUUAAAGUGGUACGCGAGCUGGGUUUAGAACGUCGUGAGACAGUUCGGUCCCUAUCUGCCGUGGGCGCUGGAGAACUGAGGGGGGCUGCUCCUAGUACGAGAGGACCGGAGUGGACGCAUCACUGGUGUUCGGGUUGUCAUGCCAAUGGCACUGCCCGGUAGCUAAAUGCGGAAGAGAUAAGUGCUGAAAGCAUCUAAGCACGAAACUUGCCCCGAGAUGAGUUCUCCCUGACUCCUUGAGAGUCCUGAAGGAACGUUGAAGACGACGACGUUGAUAGGCCGGGUGUGUAAGCGCAGCGAUGCGUUGAGCUAACCGGUACUAAUGAACCGUGAGGCUUAACCUUACAACGCCGAAG
Molecule: ribosomal RNA, 2925 nt
Filed under: Escherichia coli
Lineage: Bacteria; Pseudomonadati; Pseudomonadota; Gammaproteobacteria; Enterobacterales; Enterobacteriaceae
Description: 23S ribosomal RNA
Rfam family: Bacterial large subunit ribosomal RNA
Source: RNAcentral